Molecule: ribosomal RNA, 496 nt
Filed under: uncultured bacterium
Lineage: Bacteria
Description: partial 16S ribosomal RNA
Rfam family: Bacterial small subunit ribosomal RNA
Source: RNAcentral
AUGAACGCUGGCGGCGUGCCUAAUACAUGCCAGUCGAGCGAACGGACGAGAAGCUUGCUUCUCUGAUGUUAGCGGCGGACGGGUGAGUAACACGUUGAUAACCUACCUAUAAGACUGGGAUAACUUCGGGAAACCGGAGCUAAUACCGGAUGAUAUUUUGAACCGCAUGGUUCAAAAGUGAAAGACGGUCUUGCUGUCACUUAUAGAUGGAUCCGCGCUGCAUUAGCUAGUUGGUAAGGUAACGGCUUACCAAGGCAACGAUGCAUAGCCGACCUGAGAGGGUGAUCGGCCACACUGGAACUGAGACACGGUCCAGACUCCUACGGGAGGCAGCAGUAGGGAAUCUUCCGCAAUGGGCGAAAGCCUGACGGAGCAACGCCGCGUGAGUGAUGAAGGUCUUCGGAUCGUAAAACUCUGUUAUUAGGGAAGAACAUAUGUGUAAGUAACUGUGCACAUCUUGACGGUACCUAAUCAGAAAGCCACGGCUAACUACGUG